CAAAGGGGAGCCAUCGGCUGAGAGUAAGGAAUUUCCUUAGACCCGAAACCUGAUCUGGAUAAUGCCAGCGUAGGGAUAUA
Molecule: non-coding RNA, 80 nt
Filed under: pig gut metagenome
Source: RNAcentral